Molecule: ribosomal RNA, 484 nt
Filed under: uncultured bacterium
Lineage: Bacteria
Description: bacterial SSU rRNA
Rfam family: Bacterial small subunit ribosomal RNA
Source: RNAcentral
GAUGAACGCUAGCGGCAGGCUUAAUACAUGCAAGUCAAGGGGGUAGCAAUACAACCGGCGCACGGGUGAGUAACGCGUACACAACAUACCAUAUACUGGGGUAUAGCUUUGGGAAACUGAAGGUAAUCCCCCAUAACAUUGCGAGAGGGCAUCUGAUUGCAAUUAAAGUUUCGGCGGUAUAUGAUUGGUGUGCGUUUGAUUAGCUAGUUGGUAGGGUAACGGCCUACCAAGGCGACGAUCAAUAGCUGGCGUGAGAGCGCGACCAGCCACACUGGAACUGAGACACGGUCCAGACUCCUACGGGAGGCAGCAGUAGGGAAUAUUGGACAAUGGAGGAAACUCUGAUCCAGCCAUGCCGCGUGAUAGAUGAAGGCCCUCUGGGUUGUAAAUAUCUUUUAUCUGGGAAGAACAAUCUUAUUCUUAAGAUCUUGACGGUACCAGAGGAAUAAGCACCGGCUAACUCCGUGCCAGCAGCCGCGGUAAU